UCCGUAGCUUGAUAUGCAAGUCUCUUGAGAAAUCCGUCGGCUUAACUGGCGGGCGUUCAGGGGAAACUGCAUUUCUAGGGACCGGGAGAGGUGAGAGGUACUGCCGGGGUAGGAGUGAAAUCCUGUAAUCCCGGUGGGACCGACCUAUAGCGAAGGCAUCUCACCAGAACAGGUCCGACAGUGAGGGACGAAAGACUGGGGGAGGCAAAACCG
Molecule: ribosomal RNA, 213 nt
Filed under: uncultured bacterium
Lineage: Bacteria
Description: partial 16S ribosomal RNA
Rfam family: Archaeal small subunit ribosomal RNA
Source: RNAcentral